This 303-nucleotide long non-coding RNA is filed under the name Equus caballus (horse). RNAcentral's name for it is "lncRNA (ENSECAG00000039751.2)". Lineage: Eukaryota; Metazoa; Chordata; Mammalia; Perissodactyla; Equidae. The record is from RNAcentral.
GAGCAUUUUAUUUUGGAAGCCAGAAGUUUGAGAACAAUGACUGGAAUUUCCUCUUUCUGUCCAGCAAGAGCUGUUUGUCACUGGGGAGAUAAAAGUCCAAGGCCAGAUGCACCCAGCUGGACUCCUUGGAGCUGAGCCCUGCAGAGGGAGAUUUGCACUGGGGCUGCGGGGCUAGGAACUGAUGUGGCCACUUCUCCAUCUUCAUCCCAUGCAUCCUGACUGCACUGGCUGUUCUAGAAGACAAAAGUAUCUUUCAGCAUCUACCAACCGACCAACUACUGGGUGCUGCCUCCACCAAUCCAG